Molecule: unclassified non-coding RNA, 200 nt
Filed under: Hyaloscypha sp.
Lineage: Eukaryota; Fungi; Ascomycota; Leotiomycetes; Helotiales; Hyaloscyphaceae
Description: partial internal transcribed spacer 2
Source: RNAcentral
UUAAGUUCAGCGGGUAUCCCUACCUGAUCCGAGGUCAACCUAAGAAAAUAAGGGGUUGCUGGCAAGCAUCCACCGGGACUCUGUAGCGAGAAAGAUUACUACGCUUAGAGCCAGAUGCGCCGCCACUGAUUUUAAGAGCCGCGGGACCGCGAACCCCAAUACCAAGCCAGGCUUGAGUGGUCAUAAUGACGCUCGAACAG